GAAGGAAACAGUUUAAAAUGCAAACUAAUAUUGAGGAGCGAACCCCAUUAAUAUAUUCAGAAUAUUCCAUUGGCAACAGACUAGGUGGUACAACAAUUAUAUUCAACCAAAAUGCAACAUAUCGGCGCUAUAAUCAGCUCACCACUUGGUAAACUAUAAAAAUGAUUGGAACAUUUAUGCGGUCUAUUGGAUUGUUGGCUUGGAAGCUUAAGGUCAAGUUUUAUAUAUGUACAUUCGGCAAUUAAAUCUGUUGUGACAAAUGUGCUUUGACAACAUUGAUUUGCAAAAUGCUUGCAAUAGUUACAACUUUAUUUUCGGCAUUAAAUCCAAUGAUAAACCUCUGAAGCAUUUGUUGGGCAUCCUGUCGCCAAUCCUGGUUAAACAAUGCCUCUAUGCGAAAACAUAAGCGUGUCUAUGUUAGCAAUGGACUUACAUAUGUAUAUUUAGGUUAAAAAUAGAAUAAGAUUAUAUUUGAAUUGUUAAAUUAGAAUAUAAAUUGUAUAGUUUAGUUUACUAAAAAUUAAAUGAUUAGUUAUAAUUGUAACAAUUUUAUAAUAAGCUUAACCUGUUUAAGUUUAUGCGAUAUAUAUGUGUAUCUAUCUACAUAAGUAUUUGAAUUUGUA
Molecule: long non-coding RNA, 623 nt
Organism: Zeugodacus cucurbitae (melon fly)
Lineage: Eukaryota; Metazoa; Arthropoda; Insecta; Diptera; Tephritidae
Exons: 4
Source: RefSeq, a predicted model, not a curated record